RNAcentral lists this ribosomal RNA (1645 nucleotides) under Escherichia coli. Its description in RNAcentral is "partial 23S ribosomal RNA". It matches the Rfam family "Bacterial large subunit ribosomal RNA", at positions 1291 to 2915 of the family's 2925-position model. The record is from RNAcentral. Lineage: Bacteria; Pseudomonadati; Pseudomonadota; Gammaproteobacteria; Enterobacterales; Enterobacteriaceae.
CGAAUGCUGACAUAAGUAACGAUAAAGCGGGUGAAAAGCCCGCUCGCCGGAAGACCAAGGGUUCCUGUCCAACGUUAAUCGGGGCAGGGUGAGUCGACCCCUAAGGCGAGGCCGAAAGGCGUAGUCGAUGGGAAACAGGUUAAUAUUCCUGUACUUGGUGUUACUGCGAAGGGGGGACGGAGAAGGCUAUGUUGGCCGGGCGACGGUUGUCCCGGUUUAAGCGUGUAGGCUGGUUUUCCAGGCAAAUCCGGAAAAUCAAGGCUGAGGCGUGAUGACGAGGCACUACGGUGCUGAAGCAACAAAUGCCCUGCUUCCAGGAAAAGCCUCUAAGCAUCAGGUAACAUCAAAUCGUACCCCAAACCGACACAGGUGGUCAGGUAGAGAAUACCAAGGCGCUUGAGAGAACUCGGGUGAAGGAACUAGGCAAAAUGGUGCCGUAACUUCGGGAGAAGGCACGCUGAUAUGUAGGUGAAGCGACUUGCUCGUGGAGCUGAAAUCAGUCGAAGAUACCAGCUGGCUGCAACUGUUUAUUAAAAACACAGCACUGUGCAAACACGAAAGUGGACGUAUACGGUGUGACGCCUGCCCGGUGCCGGAAGGUUAAUUGAUGGGGUCAGCGCAAGCGAAGCUCUUGAUCGAAGCCCCGGUAAACGGCGGCCGUAACUAUAACGGUCCUAAGGUAGCGAAAUUCCUUGUCGGGUAAGUUCCGACCUGCACGAAUGGCGUAAUGAUGGCCAGGCUGUCUCCACCCGAGACUCAGUGAAAUUGAACUCGCUGUGAAGAUGCAGUGUACCCGCGGCAAGACGGAAAGACCCCGUGAACCUUUACUAUAGCUUGACACUGAACAUUGAGCCUUGAUGUGUAGGAUAGGUGGGAGGCUUUGAAGUGUGGACGCCAGUCUGCAUGGAGCCGACCUUGAAAUACCACCCUUUAAUGUUUGAUGUUCUAACGUGGACCCGUAAUCCGGGUUGCGGACAGUGUCUGGUGGGUAGUUUGACUGGGGCGGUCUCCUCCUAAAGAGUAACGGAGGAGCACGAAGGUUGGCUAAUCCUGGUCGGACAUCAGGAGGUUAGUGCAAUGGCAUAAGCCAGCUUGACUGCGAGCGUGACGGCGCGAGCAGGUGCGAAAGCAGGUCAUAGUGAUCCGGUGGUUCUGAAUGGAAGGGCCAUCGCUCAACGGAUAAAAGGUACUCCGGGGAUAACAGGCUGAUACCGCCCAAGAGUUCAUAUCGACGGCGGUGUUUGGCACCUCGAUGUCGGCUCAUCACAUCCUGGGGCUGAAGUAGGUCCCAAGGGUAUGGCUGUUCGCCAUUUAAAGUGGUACGCGAGCUGGGUUUAGAACGUCGUGAGACAGUUCGGUCCCUAUCUGCCGUGGGCGCUGGAGAACUGAGGGGGGCUGCUCCUAGUACGAGAGGACCGGAGUGGACGCAUCACUGGUGUUCGGGUUGUCAUGCCAAUGGCACUGCCCGGUAGCUAAAUGCGGAAGAGAUAAGUGCUGAAAGCAUCUAAGCACGAAACUUGCCCCGAGAUGAGUUCUCCCUGACUCCUUGAGAGUCCUGAAGGAACGUUGAAGACGACGACGUUGAUAGGCCGGGUGUGUAAGCGCAGCGAUGCGUUGAGCUAACCGGUACUAAUGAACCGUGAGG